Molecule: long non-coding RNA, 4147 nt
Organism: Cuculus canorus (common cuckoo)
Lineage: Eukaryota; Metazoa; Chordata; Aves; Cuculiformes; Cuculidae
Exons: 8
Source: RefSeq, a predicted model, not a curated record
CAGUUUGUCAAACCUUGCCUUUUGUCAGUGUCUAAAGAUCGAGAGUCUUGUGGGAGAACUUCAGCUGCCCUAUUCCCAGCUAAUAACAAAAGCACGGUGGCCAUCAAAGACACGUUUGUGCAAAUGGUGAGACUUUGCAGUAUAGAAUGAAGAAGCGUUAAUCAUGCCCUAUCUUGUACCAACUGCAGUGAGUGCGGUUCAUGAGGACAUAGCUGCAAGGAGUUUGCUCAGCACUUUCUUGAGAACUGCCCUUCUCGGAGUGCACUGAGCUGAGUUCUGCCUGGACGCCUUUGAAGAGGGAAUUUUUCGCCUUGGUGGAAAGCCAAAGGACCAAAACCCCUGCAUCGACUGAAGAUUCUGUCUGGAGCAGGAUCUGCAGCGAGGGACACACUGGACUGCUGGAGAGCAUCCAGAUUGCCACAGUGAAAGUCUUCAGAGGACAGCAGAAGCCUUUGGACAUGCUAAAUACGUACCAAAUCUUGGUAGCACCGAGCAGCAUGGUAUGAUAGACAGAGCAGCCACUCCACAACCAGCAAGUGGCGUAAUCUUACCUAAUAUUUAAAUAGUUUUUCACUGGAAAAGGAGGUACUAUAUAUACACAUACACAGAAGCUGUGAUGCACUCCAAGGAACAACUGCUCGUCAACACCUGGGUGUGAAACAGUAGCACCCACUGUGCCCGUGGUUGGCUUUCUGUAGAGCGCACUUGUCACAUCCACCUUGCAAAGCACUAGAUGAUCAAUGCAACGUACAGAAUGCCUCGUGCUACUGGAUAACGUCAAUGUAAAGGGAAGCAGGAAAAAAAAGCUACUCAGAAACAUGUUCAGGCUGGAGACCAGCUAAUUUCCCCAUCACACAGCAAGUGAGUUGCAGCCCCUUUGAUCCUUUUGCUGCAAGAAGAUGAAUACAGAUCACGAGGGCCAUUUAGGCUUUGCCUUCACAAAUUAUUUAAACUGGUCUAAAGUCAUGCUGUUGUCUAAAGGUUGUGUGUUCCUGUCUCCUCCAUUUUUCUGCUGUGGAAGUCACGCAUACGAGCAGCCAGUAAUAGCAGUAAACUGGUCCAGCACUAAGAUCUUUUUUGUAGGUUAAAGUCUCUGCCAAGUUAACCAGACUUAAAUAUUAUUUGGGGAUGGUUCCUUGCUUUGAUGUUGAAUUUGCAUUAAUAUUUCUGAAGGACUGAAAAAAAAAAGGCCAGAAUGUAUCUUUUCCAUUUGUUUCCAGCAAGGAAUUUCUGUCUAGAUCACAUUUUAACAUGGAAGCAGGACAACAAUAUACUUGUACUGAAAAUCUUGCCCUGGAUUUAGGGGUGGGCAGCGCUUUGCGAGUGCAGAAUCGGAGUAGGGCUCUUGUCCUGUUUCGCAUGGCGAUGCUUAGAGAUGUGGAUACUUCGAGGUGAGUUUGCUUGUGAGACUGCAAAUUCUGAUCCUUUUCCCUCAGAUGGAAUAACAAGCAACAGGUCUUCAGGUGGAGACCCUUAUGGAAAUCUAGCCCCCUCUUGUGGUUUUCCCACAUGGAAGGCAUGACUCGAUUCCCCCAUGUGUCUGAAUAACUGACCUCAGAUGGCAUCAGCUUAAACAGCGCUGACCGAAAUUGAGAAGUCAGUUGUAUAGAGUGUAGUGUGACAGGCAGAGAGCUUUAAGACAGUACAGAGCUCAGUGGUCGUGAAUGCUGUUUGCUGCACUCCUGAUGCUUCCUUCUGCCCUGGGCCAAAGGACAAGCCCAGACCUCAGCUGGGACAAGGAAUUUGCGACUACAUCGUUUACGGAGAAGGAAGGUGAAAGGUUUUGGAGUGGUAGAGCAGUUUGUUGAAGCAGUGGGAAGCAGCUCUUCAGACUCGGCAUCAGCAGUGCUGCUAAUGCCAUGCAGAGGAGAAAGCAAUGAUAAAAAAUGCUUGUUAUUUUGAUAAAAUAGCAUUUUCGGUAUUGAAGAGGCAAUAUUUUUGUUCCAUCUGUGUUUCACGAAUAGAGAAAGAGAUGCCCCGAAGCAUCUGAAUGGUAAUCUAUGAUACAGUUUGAGCUCUCUUCUGACAUAGUACAUGUACCAACACGUGGACUCAUUUGCAACUAACACCAUAUUGUCAGGAUGCAAUAUGUUACGUAGCGGUGGCAUUUCCCCAUUAGUGUCUCCUUUUGAUACUGAUCAGAAAUCUGGAAGGAUCUAAAUUACUUGAACGAAACUUUUAAAGUAUGAACAAAAUCUAGAGGAGUUGGUACCAUCCUACACUGAGAUAUUGCUGUGCUUUCCUUCUGAAAAGGGUAUUUGCCUGUUAAAAGUAAAAUUUGAGGUGACCUAUUCAGAAAGAGAUGUAGAAUGACUUGCAAGGCAUUAAAAGCUGGGUUUGGAAGCACUAUAAAGAAAGUUUUGCUAUCCAACAAAGCUUUUUUAAGUACAUACAAGAAAAUACAGCCACAAGCUAACUACCUCAGAUACUGAAUUGACUGCUGAUGGUGAAAAGAGUGUUUGUGGAUGGGGUAGUCGCUAAGAAUUGUAUAAUGAAAGUCAUUGAAGAGGUAUGUCCGGAAAAGAAAACAUCCAUAAUGUCAUUUUUCUGCCAGUACAACCGCCAGACUGACAAAGGGAGUGGGAAUUUGUUUUUACAGCUCAAGAAAAGAGCAAGACCUUCAAAUGGUUUUCAUUAAUACAGUGUGUGAAUACCAAUAUUUCAAACAUAGCAAAACUUUUGAUUUCAGAUCAAGGACCUGGUGCAGUAUUAUUGUGGUGUUUGCUAUGUUUCAGAAUAUGACGGGGAAAAAACACUACCAGAUACAUUUUUCUCAAGUGUAAGAAAAAAUUAAACUUGCCUCUGUUGUAAUCUGAAAACUGUGAAGUGCUGUGAUAUAGGGGAAGCAACCAGAGCUCGCAUCCUGCCUAUUGCAAAGAAGUGCAGCAGUAAAUAUGAAACUCUCUCCACUGGAUACGGCAACUGCAAUCUUAGCACGGUACAAUUUGGCUGUGGUGAUCCGUUAUGAAUGCCACUUCUGACCUGCAUUUAUUUAAUCCAGAAGUAUAGCCUAAAUCGCUGCAUUUGUCACCAAAACCUUUUCAGUUUAGAAUUUAGUAACAUUUUACACUGCAGUGUGGUGUGAUUGAUCCCUGGGAUUAGAGCUCUGAGCCAGGAUGGCAUUGACCUUUCUAAGCGUGACACAACAACUCUAUUUUCCUGACAGAACACCAGAUGCCUAAGCCCAAGUGGGUUUGACAGUCAGGGGCUCAGAGUUUUGGCUUUGUGAGCUAUUUCCUGACAUUUAUGCUUUUCAGUCAAAAUUAUGGAUAUUUUAUGAGGCUGCUCAAAACCACACCUCAAUUCAUACCUCCUUGCUGGCAAAGAUGGGUUUGAAAAUACAAAAUCACAAUGCCACAUUCUGCAAAUAAAUUGAUUGGGACCUUAGAGUACUUUCCUACAAAAUUCCAAGAGCAAUUUCAAGUCAUCCUUGGUCGUGCCAAGGAGAUUGCUCUGCCAAAAUCUAUAUGAAGUAUAUAAUCACAAGGCCCAUUUCACGCAUCGGUUGAAUUUAGCAGUCAUAAGCAAACAGCCCAUGAAAGGUACGUACAAACUAAGCAAUCUCACUGUGGGCUUCCAAAGAUCUUUAAAUUCUUUUGCAGGUGUCCAUUAUAGUCCUUAAUGAUCAUCUUGGCAGUACCUGGGACUGGACAGGCUCAAUUGAAAGAAUGUUUUCUUUGAUUUCAAUUAUUAGACAGAUACUGUCAACCAUGGGGGGAAAGUUAUCUAAUUUUAUGGUGUUAAAUUCUUGGUCAUAAAAAUGGACAGAGUCUUCUCAAGGUGCAACAUCACCAACGUAAAAAAUUCUAACACUGAGGGUGUGCAACUUUUCCCCCUGCAGUUACAAAUGGGCACUGUAUUUUCAUAAAGUCUGCCUUUACUAUUUAUAAUUUUAUUAUUCCUUUAAUAGUCAAGUUUAUAAGUAAUUCAGCCUUUGAUAACACUCAAAUAAGAAACUUACAUGAACAAAAAUCCUCUCAAAAUUAACUGAAGUUUAUAUGAGCAAGAACUGCUGCAACCUAGCUCCUAAUCUGUACCAUAUGUUGGCAUGCUUCCUUCUUGGAAGUGUCAUUUCGCUUUGCUUCCAGUAGUUAACAUUACUUUGACAGAAGAAAAUGAUAAGAGGCCAUAGAUAGGAGACCUAAUG